This 1495-nucleotide ribosomal RNA is filed under the name uncultured bacterium. Its description in RNAcentral is "bacterial SSU rRNA". It matches the Rfam family "Bacterial small subunit ribosomal RNA". The record is from RNAcentral.
AGAGUUUGAUCCUGGCUCAGGAUGAACGCUAGCGGCAGGCCUAAUACAUGCAAGUCGAGGGGUAAGGCUCUUUUCGGAGAGUACACGACCGGCGCACGGGUGCGUAACGCGUAUGCAACCUACCUUUAACUGAGAGAUAGCCCCGAGAAAUCGGGAUUAAUAUCACAUAAUACCACAUUGUUUCAUGACAGAGUGGUUAAAGCUCCGGCGGUUAAAGAUGGGCAUGCGUGACAUUAGCUUGUUGGUGAGGUAACGGCUCACCAAGGCAACGAUGUCUAGGGGUUCUGAGAGGAUGAUCCCCCACACUGGUACUGAGACACGGACCAGACUCCUACGGGAGGCAGCAGUAAGGAAUAUUGCGCAAUGGAGGCAACUCUGACGCAGCCAUGCCGCGUGAAGGAAGAAGGCCUUAUGGGUCGUAAACUUCUUUUAUUUAGGAAUAAUCCCCCCGACGUGUCGGGGGUUGAAGGUACUAAACGAAUAAGCACCGGCUAACUCCGUGCCAGCAGCCGCGGUAAUACGGAGGGUGCAAGCGUUAUCCGGAUUUAUUGGGUUUAAAGGGUGCGCAGGCGGACCAAUAAGUCAGUGGUGAAAUCUCGGGGCUCAACCCCGAAACUGCCAUUGAUACUGCUGGUCUUGAAUACGGUUGAAGUAGGCGGAAUGUAGCAUGUAGCGGUGAAAUGCAUAGAGAUGCUACAGAACACCGAUCGCGAAGGCAGCUUACUAAGCCGAUAUUGACGCUCAGGCACGAAAGCGUGGGGAGCGAACAGGAUUAGAUACCCUGGUAGUCCACGCCGUAAACUAUGAUCACUCGUUGUUGGCAAUACACAGUCAGUGACCAAGCGAAAGCGAUAAGUGAACCGCCUGGGGAGUACGGUCGCAAGAUUAAAACUCAAAGGAAUAGACGGGGACCCGCACAAGUGGUGGAGCAUGUGGUUUAAUUCGAAGAUACGCGAAGAACCUUACCUAGCCUUGACAUUGAUUGAACGGACCAGAGAUGGACCGGUGCCCUUCGGGGAACAUGAAAACAGGUGCUGCACGGCUGUCGUCAGCUCGUGUCGUGAGAUGUUGGGUUAAGUCCCGCAACGAGCGCAACCCUCGUCCUUAGUUGCCAGCAGGUUAAGCUGGGCACUCUAGGGAGACUGCCUUCGUAAGGAGGAGGAAGGUGAGGACGACGUCAAGUCAUCAUGGCCCUUAUGGCUAGGGCUACACACGUGCUACAAUGGGGCGUACAGAGAGUUGCGAUACCGCGAGGUGGAGCUAAUCUCACAAAGCGUCUCUCAGUUCGGAUUGAAGUCUGCAACUCGACUUCAUGAAGCUGGAAUCACUAGUAAUCGUAGAUCAGCAAUGCUACGGUGAAUACGUUCCCGGGUCUUGUACUCACCGCCCGUCACACCAUGGGAGUUGAUUUCACCCGAAAUUGGGAAGCUAACCUUCGGGGGGCUACCACUUACGGUGGAAUUAGCGACUGGGGUGAAGUCGUAACAAGGUAACC